UACGGAGGGUGCAAGCGUUAUCCGGAUUCACUGGGUUUAAAGGGUGCGUAGGUGGCUUUGUAAGUCAGUGGUGAAAUGCCGGAGCUUAACUCCGGAACUGCCAUUGAUACUGCUUAGCUUGAUUCACGUCGAGGUGGAUGGAAUAUUACAUGUAGCGGUGAAAUGCUUAGAUAUGUAAUAGAACACCGAUUGCGAAGGCAGUUCACUAGGCGUGUAUUGACACUGAGGCACGAAAGCGUGGGGAUCAAACAGG
Molecule: ribosomal RNA, 253 nt
Filed under: uncultured bacterium
Lineage: Bacteria
Description: partial 16S ribosomal RNA
Rfam family: Bacterial small subunit ribosomal RNA
Source: RNAcentral